GAGAUGUAACAGCAACUAACAUCGCCACUCUGUUCAUCUGGAGAGAGGAAAGUAGACAGAAAAUCUGAUCACGAUGGAUUACAUCAAGCCAGCAUUUGACAUCCUGUUCGAACAAGUGAGAAAAUCAGGCAGUUUUUACAUGACCUUCUUUGUUCUUUUUCUGUACCACAUUAUGUUUGAUGACCACUUAAAAUGUUCUUGUGAACAUGGAGUUAAAACAGGGGUUACCCCUGAACACUGUAUCUACUACAUGGUGUUUCCAGCUGUGAUCUUGAUUUUCUUGGCUCUCUGGAUGGACAGAGAGUUUCAACGAGUCUUGAGAAUGACAUGCAGAUACAGAUGUGAUUUGUGUGGAAGACUGUUGGGAAUCUUCAUUAAGGCAGUCUCUAAAGGGUUGCUGUGGGUUGUGUGUGUGCUUUUUGAUGGAGACUGGUACGUGUGCUAUGAAAGUCCAGAGAGUCCCUGUGGACACACUAAUACCCCAAUCUACCAAGAGGACCUAGAAAAGCAAACUAAUAUCAAAAGGUUCUCCAUGGUUUACGGCUCAGGACUGGUUCUGUUUCUACUUGUUGGGAAUUCCAUUCUGACUGCAGUACCUUGGAGGGAUAUCUGUUGUAGAUCUUGCAAGGUCAGACCUUAUCACAGGGAACUAUUUGAGGAGAAUAUUUGGGAAGAGACAGAAAUUCUUAUUGAAAAAGACUUAAAGAGAACAGCUCAGGAGAGUGUAGUUAUUAAAAGCAGAGAACUACUACCACCCCUUCAGAAUGCAGCCCAAGGAAACAUACAGGGAGGCGGCACCACCCAUCCUGAGGUGGAAAACAGAGUGAUCACCCUGAACAACCUUCAUUUUAACAUUAUAUCUGAUCUAGAUAAUGUUAUAAUUGAUAAAAUUAACACUAUGUACCGGAACCCGAACCCCCCACAGACCAAUGACGGAGACCUGACCACACCGGUUUAGGGAACAACAACGGAAACCAGAAAAUAACAAACUAAUCCAAAGGAACAAUAACCGAAGAAGUGGCCAGAUGCCACAACUUUAGGAAGGCACUCAACCCUAACUGUGGUGUAAUAUUGGUCAAUGGUAUAAUAUAGAUGUUUGCAUCAAAUGUGUGAAAUGUCACAUAUUUGGUUAUAAUAUGUAAAAUGAUAUUGACAUUAAUAGUAUGAUACACUGUAUGUGAACCGUUUGUGAAAACUGUGGCUUUCAAGUGAAAUAUUCAAAUCAGCCACGCAAAAAUGAACUGUAGUGAUUAGCGACUCUGCGUUUAUAAGGAUACAUCUGUCUCACAAUAAACUGUGUUUCUGGUUAAGUUAGCAGCAGUAGUUUGGUACAAUACAACUAGUAUGGGUUAUAUGAGGGGGAGUGAGCAACUGUGGGUGAUAAACCUCAACAACGACCCUGUAUAAGUCUGUAUAAUGUCACAGGGUGGAAAUGUGAGCCGGGUGGCAAAAAUGAGCCUGUUAGACCACAGUGAUGAUUGACAGAGCUGUUCUAGGUCAUCUUUAUUUCUAGACUAUAAACAAUAUAACCUUCAUUAAUGAAUAUAUGUUAAUAUAACCAGUGAAUUAUUGUUUUUGUUCUUGAUGCUAAAAUGCAUAUGUUGUUACUAUUGAUUGUGUUCUGUCUUUAUGUCAACCUUCAACAAACAAUUAAAAAUAUAUAAUAAUACUAACAA
Non-coding RNA from Oncorhynchus mykiss (rainbow trout), 1676 nucleotides. The record is from RefSeq and is a predicted model, not a curated record. NCBI's taxonomy places the organism in Eukaryota, Metazoa, Chordata, Actinopteri, Salmoniformes, Salmonidae.